CUUUGAACCCCUCUUCUCCCUCCUCUCUUUAUGUAACAGAAAUCUCGAAUUUUCAGAUUUUUUUUAUCCGUUUCUCACCAGGAAAGAUUUGAAGAAACAAAACCAUUUCACCAAAUUGCUUUAAAUGGGAUACCUUUCUUGUAAGGCAGAAUCAGCUAUUGCCAUCUCCAGCACAACUUGUCAAUUUACUUCCAAAACCGCCCAAAACAAAGUAGAAAAGCCCAUCAAGAUCCAGCAGUUUCACUACAGUGAUCU
RNAcentral lists this unclassified non-coding RNA (255 nucleotides) under Hevea brasiliensis (rubber tree). The record is from RNAcentral. Lineage: Eukaryota; Viridiplantae; Streptophyta; Magnoliopsida; Malpighiales; Euphorbiaceae.